CUAAACAGUUUACAGCCAUACCACCCUGAGCACGCCUGAGUACUUUGAUUGGGGACCACCUGGGAAUAUCAGGUACUGUUUGGG
RNAcentral lists this ribosomal RNA (84 nucleotides) under Amphilophus citrinellus (Midas cichlid). The record is from RNAcentral. Lineage: Eukaryota; Metazoa; Chordata; Actinopteri; Cichliformes; Cichlidae.